AACGAACGCUUGCGGCGCGCCUAAUACAUGCAAGUCGAACGAGGUAGCAAUACCUAGUGGCGCACGGGUGAGUAACGCGUGAAUAAUCUGCCAUCCAGUGGGGGAUAACUAACCGAAAGGUUAGCUAAUACCGCAUGAGGCCACAGUUUCCGAGGAAACAGGGGUUAAAGAUUUAUCGCUGGAUGAUGAGUUUGCGUGGGAUUAGCUAGUUGGUGGGGUAACGGCCUACCAAGGCAACGAUCUCUAACUGGUCUGAGAGGAUGACCAGUCACACUGGAACUGAGACACGGUCCAGACUCCUACGGGAGGCAGCAGUAGGGAAUAUUGCGCAAUGGGGGAAACCCUGACGCAGCGACGCCGCGUGAGUGAUGAAGGCUUUAGGGUCGUAAAGCUCUGUUGAAUGGGAAGAAACAAAUGACGGUACCAUUCGAGAAAGGUCCGGCUAACUUCGUGCCAGCCGCCGCGGUAAGAC
RNAcentral lists this ribosomal RNA (472 nucleotides) under uncultured bacterium. RNAcentral describes it as "bacterial SSU rRNA". It matches the Rfam family "Bacterial small subunit ribosomal RNA", at positions 29 to 526 of the family's 1533-position model. The record is from RNAcentral.